This 231-nucleotide ribosomal RNA is filed under the name uncultured bacterium. Its description in RNAcentral is "partial 16S ribosomal RNA". It matches the Rfam family "Bacterial small subunit ribosomal RNA", at positions 102 to 334 of the family's 1533-position model. The record is from RNAcentral.
ACGGGUGAGUAACACGUAUCCAACCUGCCGUCUACUCUUGGACAGCCUCUGAAAGGAAGAUUAAUACAAGAUGGCAUCAUGAGUUCACAUGUUCACAUGAUUAAAGGUAUUCCGGUAGACGAUGGGGAUGCGUUCCAUUAGAUAGUAGGCGGGGUAACGGCCCACCUAGUCUUCGAUGGAUAGGGGUUCUGAGAGGAAGGUCCCCCACAUUGGAACUGAGACACGGUCCAA